UAUCUCUGUAGAGUCUGCAUAUCAAUAAGCGGAGGAAAAGAAACUAACAAGGAUUCCCCUAGUAACGGCGAGUGAAGCGGGAAGAGCUCAAAUUUGAAAUCUUAAAGGGUUUCCCUUUACGAAUUGUAGUUUAAAGAAGUGUUUUCUGUUGAGGUUUUGGUAAAAGUUCUUUGGAAUAGGACAUCAUAGAGGGUGAGAAUCCCGUAUUUGACCUUUACUUUCAACUUUGUGAUACACUUUCAAAGAGUCGGAUUGUUUGGGAAUGCAGUCCAAAAUGGGUGGUAAAUUUCAUCUAAAGCUAAAUAUUGGCGAGAGACCGAUAGCGAACAAGUACCGUAAGGGAAAGAUGAAAAGAACUUUGAAAAGAGAGUUAAACAGUACGUGAAAUUGUCAAAAGGGAAGCGUUUGACACCAGUGUUGUUUUUCUGAAAAUCAAUUAAAGAACUGUUUAUGCUAAGCUGUUUAGACUUUAUCAGCUAUCUGUUUAGUUUUGAGCUUUUCUUUAAUGCACUUUUCAGUUAACAAGUCAACAUCAAUUUCUUUUGCUGUAAAAAAGCUUGAGGAAGGUGGCUUGAGAUUCGUCUUAAGUGUUUAUAGCCUCUUGCCUAUGCAGUCGGAGAGAUUGAGGUCUGCAGCGUAGAUCCUUCGGGGCUAAAUGCAUUUGUGCUAAGUUAUAGCAUUUUAUAGACAACUUGUUGACUAUGAUUUGUCUUGUAGCUUACUCGCUUAUGUUAUUUUACCUACGCUUAGGAUGUUGACGAUCAGCUGAGCGCG
This 774-nucleotide ribosomal RNA is filed under the name uncultured Neocallimastigales. Its description in RNAcentral is "partial large subunit ribosomal RNA". It matches the Rfam family "Eukaryotic large subunit ribosomal RNA", at positions 24 to 639 of the family's 3401-position model. The record is from RNAcentral. Lineage: Eukaryota; Fungi; Neocallimastigomycota; Neocallimastigomycetes; Neocallimastigales.